Molecule: long non-coding RNA, 1699 nt
Filed under: Homo sapiens (human)
Lineage: Eukaryota; Metazoa; Chordata; Mammalia; Primates; Hominidae
Description: non-protein coding TP53TG1:5
Source: RNAcentral
AGCCGGGCCUGCGCGGUAGUGGGACCCGACCCUGUCUCCAGUGGGCGUCUUGGGCCCCGGCUCUAUUCUGGGCUGCGGGCCUGGGAAGGGCUCGCCGGGUGCCAAAUGAGCUGUCCUAACUCUGCGGGGCUGCAGCUUCCUGCAUGAUGCUGGGGAGCUUGGCGCCUGACCCAGGAUCUAGAAGGCACUCUGGGCAGGCCGCGCUCCGCCCACGAAGUGAGCCGCUUUUUGCAGCACCAGGCGAACACUUACACCAGUGCUUUGUAAAGGAAUCUUAUUGUCCACCCCGUGUCUUGGCAAAAGAACAGUGAUCACACAGAUUCCUACUUGGGCUCUUUCCUUUAAUCUUCGGAGGCUGAGUUUGCCCAACUCAGGUUUAACCACCAAGGACUCUGAGAGCUGGCAGGUCUGAGUAACCCUGGUAACAAUUCUCUUCACCUUAUCAAAACCUGAGCUAAAACCAAUGCAUCAGCUGAUGAUGACAGCAGAGAGUGGCAGGGCUGAGGACCCAAAGUCAUUUCCCAGGCUGGCGGAGAAUAAACUGCCAGGGAGAAGAAUGAGAAGACAGGAGACAAACUGUUUGGAAAGCUAAAUCUUCCCUCUUAAUGAAUAAAGGUUUUUGCCUUGUCUUAAAGUUUCUGAGUCCUAAUUUUGGCAAAAUAAAUAACUUAUGGUAAUCUGGAAUUGUAUUUUGUAAUAUUAAGUGUUUUGAACCUCUAACAUUUACUUCCCAAAAUCAAACUUCAGUUUCAAAAUUGUCUCUCUUGACCCCUAGCUUUUGGAUGCUACAGAAGGCCCCUGAAGCAUCCAGAAGAGAGGUAAACAGGAUUAUUUAACAUGUUUAGGUACAUGGGAUUGGCCAAAUGGUGUUUAAUGAUCUUCAGGUUAUAUUUUAGUGAAUAAUAUUAAUAUAUUUUCCAAAAUUGUAUGGGAUUUCUAAAAUUCUAAUGUCUGAGUAUAUGCUAGAAAUCAUAAUUAAGGUUAUUAUGUUAAGUUAUUGUAAAACACAGAAAUAAUAAAAUUUGUCAGUCAUGUUCUUGACUAACUACCUUGGACAUUUCACCAUUCAAAAUCGUCUUGUUUUAAUCCUCUUUAAAGGAUGGUUUAUAAUCAGCUAUAGGACUUUGACACAUGCUCUCAAAUGCAAGUUUCUGAUAACUUUGGAGAUUAUGACAUUGGAAUAAAGGAAAAAUGUACAGGACUCAUGAAGAGCUAAAAUAUUCAUGAAUAUCAAGCAAAACAAGAGUUAACAAAAUGGACUUUUUAACCUUUUUGCUUAAAAUGUUGCUGAUCCUUAUUUUGUUUUUCAGAGUCAAGGAAACUUAUUUUAAGCUAUUUAUAGCCUCUAAUAAUUAUGUAAGGUAUACUUCUGUAAAUAAAAUUCAGAGCAUAUUUAUUUGUUUCUCUCUGGUUCCUCUAGAACUUGGAAAGUAUUUGUGAGUAUUCUUAACUCAUGGCAAUAUAAUUAUUUGCAUCAGCACAAUGAGAAUCAUUUUCUUUUACAAGAGGACACAAUUGGAGAAACUGGUUGUUUUCUCAAGGUUUUGACUAAAGGCUGUGCUUCCCUUUAAGGAAUCGAGCUUGACUUGCAGAGCCAAUAAAAGCCCCUUGGGAAAACUGCCUCAUACUUUGUCUACACAGCCCCCGAACAGGGUUCCUAACCUGUGGUGAGUAAAGAAUAUCACUUUCUACAGGCCCA